UGUAUAAGUUAUAAAGUCUAGCCUGCCCACUGAUUGAUUUAAAGGGCCGCGGUAAUUUGACCGUGCGAAGGUAGCAUAGUCAGUAGUCUUUUAAUUGAAGGCUUGAAUGAAAGGUUGGACGAGGGAUGAGCUGUCUCCUUUAUGUAAUUUGAAUUUAACUUUUGAGUGAAAAGGCUCAAAUUAUUUAGUGGGACGAUAAGACCCUAUAAAACUUUAUAUAAGUUUAAUUUGGCUUACAAUUUGUGUGAAAAGUAGCUUUAUUAGGCUUAUAUUUCGUUGGGGAGAUGUAGAUAUAAUGUGUAACUGUCUAUUUAAUUUAAUAAUUAUAAUUAGUGUGUGAUCCUUCUUUGUGGAUUAAAAGUAUAAGUUACUUUAGGGAUAACAGCGUGAUUUUCUUUGAGAGUUCUUAUCGACAAGAGUA
Molecule: ribosomal RNA, 421 nt
Filed under: Macrobrachium nipponense
Lineage: Eukaryota; Metazoa; Arthropoda; Malacostraca; Decapoda; Palaemonidae
Description: partial 16S ribosomal RNA
Rfam family: Bacterial large subunit ribosomal RNA
Source: RNAcentral